AUGCCUGAGAAGGUCAAGCAGACAGAGACUAAAACAACAGAAGUUGGGUUAAUAAAGGCCAAACCGAAAGUUAAGGAGGAGAAAGCACUUCAGACUGUAACUAAAUCAGAAAAGAAAGAUCAAUAUGCAUUCUGUCGCUAUGUGAUUGACAUGUUUGCGCAAGGGGAUUUUUAUCCAGGACAUAAGGAAAUGGCAUCACCUCGUCUUCUUCUAGAACAUAGUCCAAGAAAGAAAACAGCAGCUAUUGAAGAAGAGAAGUCUAUUGUGGUAACUAAGGAAGUGAAAAAAAGAAAGGAUGAAAAGAAAAGGACUGAUAUAAGGAGGUCUGUUACUGAAACUAAGAAGAAAGAAAAAGAAGGAAAAAAAGAGAAAGCUCAUGAGAAGACAGCUGUCCCUGAAAUUAAAAAAGCAGAUAAAAAAGAAGCUGCUGUGUUCAAAGAACUCAAAAAGCCAGCAAAAGACCCUGCAGCUAAUCCAUCCACCAAAAAAGCAGUAACACCAGAAACACAUAGGAAAGAAAAAAUGGUGGAUACUGCCAAAACAGCAAAGAAAGAAGCAAAAGUACAUGCAUCUGUGGAAACUCUGAAGUCAAAAGCAGCACCUGAAAAGAAGGAAGAAAAAGCAAUGAAGGCAGGAGAGCAAGAUCCUGGAAAAGACAAAGAAUUGAAAUCUCCAGCGGCUACAAAAGAUAAAGAACACACUAAAGAAAAGGAAGGAAAGAAUCCUAUAGCUUUAAAAGAUAAAGAGUCUCUGAAAGGAAAAAAUCCCAAGAAUCCAGAGGGGUCAAAGGAAAAAGAUUGA
This 801-nucleotide long non-coding RNA is filed under the name Anser cygnoides (Swan goose). Its description in RNAcentral is "lncRNA (ENSACDG00005013546.1)". Lineage: Eukaryota; Metazoa; Chordata; Aves; Anseriformes; Anatidae. The record is from RNAcentral.